This 497-nucleotide ribosomal RNA is filed under the name uncultured bacterium. Its description in RNAcentral is "partial 16S ribosomal RNA". It matches the Rfam family "Bacterial small subunit ribosomal RNA", at positions 28 to 507 of the family's 1533-position model. The record is from RNAcentral.
GAUGAACGCUGGCGGCGUGCCUAAUACAUGCAAGUCGAGCGAACGGACGAGAAGCUUGCUUCUCUAAUGUUAGCGGCGGACGGGUGAGUAACACGUGGAUAACCUACCUAUAAGACUGGGAUAACUUCGGGAAACCGUAGCUAAUACCGGAUAAUAUUUUGAACCGCAUGGUUCAAAAGUGAAAGACGGUCUUGCUGUCACUUAUAGAUGGAUCCGCGCUGCAUUAGCUAGUUGGUAAGGUAACGGCUUACCAAGGCAACGAUGCAUAGCCGACCUGAGAGGGUGAUCGGCCACACUGGAACUGAGACACGGUCCAGACCCCUACGGGAGGCAGCAGUAGGGAAUCUUCCGCAAUGGGCGAAAGCCUGACGGAGCAACGCCGCGUGAGUGAUGAAGGUCUUCGGAUCGUAAAACUCUGUUAUUAGGGAAGAACAUAUGUGUAAGUAACUGUGCACAUCUUGACGGUACCUAAUCAGAAAGCCACGGCUAACUACGUG